UCCAGACUCCUACGGGAGGCAGCAGUGGGGAAUAUUGCACCAUGGGGGAAACCCUGCUGCAGCGACGCCGCGUGGGUGACGACGUAUUUCGGUAUUUCCCGCCCUAUCAGCCUUGAAGAUAAUGCCGGUACCUGACUCCUCCGCCCCGGCUCCCUCCGUGCCAUCCUCCUCGGUAAUCCUGCUUGGGCAAGCUUUAUCCGGAUUUACUGGGUGUAAAGGGAGCGUAGGUGGCGUGCCAAGUCAGGAGUGAAAACCCAGGGCACAACCCUGGGACUGCUCUUGAAACUGGCAGGCUUGAGUGCUGGAGAGGGAAGCGGAAUUCCGAGUGUAGCGGUGAAAUGCGUAGAGAGGAGGAGGAACACCAGUGGCGAAGGCGGCUUACUGGACAGUGACUGACACUGAGGCUCGAAAGCGUGGGGAGCACACAGGAUUAGAUACCCGCGUAA
This 446-nucleotide ribosomal RNA is filed under the name uncultured bacterium. RNAcentral's name for it is "bacterial SSU rRNA". It matches the Rfam family "Bacterial small subunit ribosomal RNA", at positions 330 to 793 of the family's 1533-position model. The record is from RNAcentral.